This 1153-nucleotide long non-coding RNA is filed under the name Sus scrofa (pig). RNAcentral describes it as "lncRNA (ENSSSCG00015067768.1)". The record is from RNAcentral. Lineage: Eukaryota; Metazoa; Chordata; Mammalia; Artiodactyla; Suidae.
CCUGCCUCAGACUCAGAAGUCCAGGUCCACAGGGGACCGGGGAGGCCGAGCCCCCAGCCCCCUCCCUCAGAGCCGGGAGUCCAGCCAGGCCUGCCUCCCUGGGGAAGGCCCAGCCUGGCUUCCCCGGCUCUGGGUCAGAGGGAACCUCACUUGUUUGGGAGUUUGGCUCCCUACCUACCUGUCAGGUUCGGAAAUCCAGGACCUGGGUGGAGGCCGCCCAGGGGAGACAAAACCUUUAGAGCCUUCCUGGGUCAUGACCCCUUCCUUCUCCUCCCUUCUUUCGGCCUCUCACCAGUGGCAGCCCUGAUGGCUACCAUCCCAUCCCAGGCCUCUGGCAUCUCGCAGGCAGGAGCGCCAGGGGCCGCUAGCACCCCCAUUUUGCAGCUAGGAAGGCUGAGCCCCCCGGGGCAGCCGCGGAGUGGGAGGGGCCGGGCCUGCAGAGCGGCAGCCGGUCCCCUACCCCACCCGGGGCUGGGUCGAUGCACCUGAGAGCCUCCGCCUCAGUCCAGCGCUCCAGCUCCAUCUUUCUGCUUCUCUGCCCGGCCUGCUGUCUCUUCCUGCGGCCGCUCCAAGCUCCUCCAGCCUCGGUGAGCCGGUCCCCGGCUCUGCCCUGCCCAUCGGCGCCCUCCGCUCGGCCUCCUCCUGAGCGCUGCCUUUCCCAGUCCACCCCUCUCUCCUCUCCCCCAUCUCCUGGUUUCCUCUCCUCUCUCUUCUCUCCUUCUUUUCCUCUCCCUUCCGCCGCCAGCGGCACCUCCAAAGCCAGACUCUCUCCCUCCACCUUCCCUGAGGGCGCAGGAGGGCAUCUAGCCUUAGUCGCCAGCUCCGAACCGAGCUACCCCAGCCCCACCUCUCUCCUCCCAGUGGAACCCAGGAGGUGUUCCCUGCCCGCUCCUCCUCCUGGACCCCGGAAUCCAGGCCCACAGUCCCCUCCUCCCAGGAUUCUGGAGUCUGGGUUCCCAACCCCCUCCUCCGAGAACCCAGCAAUCCAGGGCCCGGGCUGCCUCCUCCCCUAGGGACCCCGGAGUCCGGGCCCCGGGUCCCAUCCCGCUCCCUCUCCGCAGACUCACGGCUCCGCCGCUCCCGCGUCGAGGGGAAGGGGUCUCGGUGGGCAGCCCCCCGGGCCGGGCUGAGCCGGGCCCCGCCGCCGCCGCUG